GAUAAUCGGUACGGGUUGUGAGAGCAAGAGCCCGGAGAUGGAUUCUGAGACACGAAUCCAGGUCCUACGGGGCGCAGCAGGCGCGAAAACUUUACACUGCGCGAAAGCGCGAUAAGGGGACCUCGAGUGCGUGCGCAAUGCGUACGCUUUUCAGAUGCCUAAAAAGCAUGUGGAAUAAGGGCCGGGCAAGACCGGUGCCAGCCGCCGCGGUAACACCGGCGGCUCAAGUGGUGGCCGCUAUUAUUGGGCUUAAAGGGUCCGUAGCCGGACCAGUUAGUCCCUUGGGAAAUCUUACGGCUUAACCGUAAGGCUGCCAAUGGAUACUGCUGGUCUUGGGACCGGGAGAGGUAAGAGGUACCUCAGGGGUAGGAGUGAAAUCCUGUAAUCCUUGAGGGACCGCCAGUGGCGAAGGCGUCUUACUAGAACGGGUCCGACGGUGAGGGACGAAAGCUAGGGGCACGAACCGGAUUAGAUACCCGGGUAGUCCUAGCCGUAAACGAUGCGAGCUAGGUGUCACGUGGAUUGCGAAUCCAUGUGGUGCCGAAGGGAAACCGUGAAGCUCGCCGCCUGGGAAGUACGGCCGCAAGGCUGAAACUUAAAGGAAUUGGCGGGGGAGCAC
Molecule: ribosomal RNA, 619 nt
Filed under: uncultured euryarchaeote
Lineage: Archaea; Methanobacteriati; Methanobacteriota
Description: bacterial SSU rRNA
Rfam family: Archaeal small subunit ribosomal RNA
Source: RNAcentral